Molecule: ribosomal RNA, 861 nt
Filed under: Candidatus Uzinura diaspidicola
Lineage: Bacteria; Pseudomonadati; Bacteroidota; Flavobacteriia; Flavobacteriales
Description: bacterial SSU rRNA
Rfam family: Bacterial small subunit ribosomal RNA
Source: RNAcentral
GGACCAGACUUCUACGGAAGGCAGCAGUGAGGAAUAUUGGUCAAUGGAGGAAACUCUGAACCAGCUAUGCCGCGUGUACGGAUGACAGUCUUUUAGAUUGUAAACUACUUUUACAUAGAAAUAAAAGUUACUACGUGAUAGUAAUCUGAAGGUACUAUGCGAAUAAGUGUCGGCUAAUUUCGUGCCAGCAGCCGCGGUAAUACGAAAGACACAAGCGUUAUCCGGAUUUAUUGGGUUUAAAGGGUGUGUAGGCUGUUUAUUAAGUCAGUAGUGAAAGCUUACAGCUUAACUGUAAAAUUGCUAUUGAUACUGAUAAUCUUGAGUAAGAUUGGAGCAUCUGGAAUGUAUGGUGUAGCGGUGAAAUGCAUAGAUAUCAUACAGAACACCAAUAGCGAAGGCAGGAUGCUAAAUCUUUACUGACGCUGAGGCACGAAAGCGUGGGUAGCAAACAGGAUUAGAUACCCUGGUAGUCCACGCCCUAAACUAUGAUCACUAGCUAUUGGAAAAAUUAUAUUCAGUGGCUAAGCUAAAGCGAUAAGUGAUCCACCUGGGAAGUACGAUCGCAAGAUUGAAACUCAAAGGAAUUGACGGGGUUCCGCACAAGCGGUGGAGCAUGUGGUUUAAUUCGAUGAUACGCGAGGAACCUUACCAAGGUUUAAAUGUAUUACGAAUAAGCUGGAAACAACUUAGUCUAUAAGACGUAAUACAAGGUGCUGCAUGGUUGUCUUCAGUUCGUGCUGUGAAGUGUUUGGUUAAGUCCUAUAACGAGCGCAACCCCUAUUGUUAGUUGCCAUCGGGUAAAGCCGGGGACUCUAACAAAACUGCCGGUGUAAAUCGUGAGGAAGGUGGGGAUAAUGUCAA